CCUACGGGGGGCUGCAGUCGAGAAUCUUCGGCAAUGAGCGAAAGCUUGACCGAGCGACGCCGUGUGCGGGAUGAAGGCCUUCGGGUUGUAAACCGCUGUCGUAGGGGAGGAAGGCUCCGUGAAGAACGGGGCUUGACCUAUCCUAGGAGGAAGGACGGGCUAAGUACGUGCCAGCAGCCGCGGUAAUACGUACCGUCCAAACGUUAUUCGGAAUUACUGGGCUUAAAGGGUACGUAGGCGGCGCUGUCAGUCGGGUGUGAAAUCCCUCGGCUCAACCGAGGAACUGCGCCCGAUACUGCAGUGCUUGAGGGAGACAGAGGUAAGCGGAACUGAUGGUGGAGCGGUGAAAUGCGUUGAUAUCAUCAGGAACACCGGUGGCGAAAGCGGCUUACUGGGUCUCUUCUGACGCUGAGGUACGAAAGCUAGGGGAGCGAAGGGG
Molecule: ribosomal RNA, 439 nt
Filed under: uncultured Bythopirellula sp.
Lineage: Bacteria; Pseudomonadati; Planctomycetota; Planctomycetia; Pirellulales; Lacipirellulaceae
Description: bacterial SSU rRNA
Rfam family: Bacterial small subunit ribosomal RNA
Source: RNAcentral